ACAGCUCCGAGCAGUGGAUCACUCGGCUCGCGGGUCGAUGAAGAACGCAGCCAGCUGCGAGAUUUGGUGUGAAUUGCAGAACACUCAGAUCACUGAUUAUUCGAACGCACAUUGCGGCUCCCGCUCCUCUGCGGGAGCCUCGCCUGUCUGAGGGUCGCGUGAUGCAUGCAGAGGUUCUUUCCUCGGAAGGUGACCAAACGGCCCCUUCGGAUUCGUCCGUGGGCUCAGAGAACGAUCUCUCCCGGGGAUCGACCGCAAACGUACCCCGGGAGUAAGACAGAUAAGGGAUAACUAUGAAAACGAGAAGCGACCUCAGAUCAGACGAGAGAACCCGCCGAACUUAAGCAUAUCAGUAAGCGGAGGAAAAGAAAACAACAGUGAUUCCCCCAGUAGCGGCGAGCGAAAAGGGAAGAGCCCAGCGCCGAAUCCCUGCGUCGAGAGGCGCACUCUGGGAAAUGUGGCGUAAGGAGUGCGCGCAGGUCCGCCGCAGGGUUCGAGGUAAGUCCCCCUGACAGGGGCUUUUCCCGGGGCGGGUGCCAGGCCCGUGUCCUCGAGCCCCGUCGGCGGUGCCGGCGCCUCCGGAGAGUCGGGUUGCUCGGGAGUGCAGCCCCAAGGCGGGAGGUAGACUCCUCCCAAGGCUAAAUACGACCGCGAGACCGAUAGCAAACAAGUACCGUGAGGGAAAGUUGCAAAGAACUUUGAAGAGAGAGUUCAAGAGACGUGAAACUGCUCGGAGGGAAACGGGUGGGCCCUCGAAGUCCCGACCUUCCGCGGAGACUCAGUCGCUGUCGAGCGACGCACUUCUCCGCGGGAUUCUAGGGAAGUCGCGGCCGGUCGCCUUCUUCUCUCCGCCUCCGGGUGAGUCCGCCGCGCACCUUCGGGAGCGUCGGCGUCCCCCGGGGGCCCGAUGCAGAGAGGGCGACCCGGUGCCCGCACGGGCCAGCUCCUCCCGCCGUCCGCCUCUUCCGGGCACCUGAAGCCCGUCCGUCGCCGACGCGCCUCGUCCCUCGUGGAGGGCGGUCCUUCGGGCGACUCCUCGAAGUCGGAAAUGUACUCAUGCGGGCGGAGGGAGUUGCGGUUCCGCGACGAGUAGGUCGGUCACCCACCCGACCCGUCUUGAAACACGGACCAAGGAGUCUUGCUCUCGUGCGAGUCUAAAGGUACUCUACGAAGCCCAGAGGCGCAGCGAAAGCGUAGAUCGCGAUCCCUCCUCUGACUCGAGGGGGGCGCAGCGACCGCCCGUGCCUCGAAGUGGGAACGGAGCGAGAGCACGAGGGCAGGGACCCGAUAGGUGGUGAACUAUUCUCGGGCAGGACGAAGGCCGAGGAAACUCGGCUGGAGGUCCGAAGCGGUUCUGACGUGCAAAUCGAUCGUCCGACCCGAGUAUAGGGGCGAAAGACCAAUCGAACCACCUGGUAGCUGGUUCCCUCCGAAGUUUCCCUCAGGAUAGCCGUCGCUCGUCGGCAGCAGUCUCGCCGGGUAGAGAGAAUGAUUAGAGCGCCUCGGGGACGCCCGUGUCACUCGACCUCUUCUCAAACUACGAACGGACGAGAAGGGAGCCUCUCCCGAUUCGGAGGCCUCCCGAGUAAGGAUGCAGAGUGGCGCGUGGGCCACUUUUGGUAAGCAGAACUGGCGCUGCGGGAUGAACCGAACGCCGGGUUAAGGCGCCCGAUGCGGGACGCUCAGAGACCCCAUAAAAGGUGUCGGUUGCUCUAUACAGCAGGACGGUGGCCACGGAAGUCGGCAUCCGCUAAGGAGUGUGUAACAACUCACCUGCCUAAGCAACCGGUCCUGAAAAUGGAUGGCGCUCCAGCGUCGAGCCCAUACCCGGCCCUUUCUCUAACGUUUCGGAUACGGAGAAAGGAGUAGGAGGGUCGCGGCGGAGUGCGUAGAAGGUCAGGGCGCGAACCCGACUGGAGCCUCCGCCGGUGCAGAUCUUGGUGGUAGUAGCAAAUAUUCGAGUGAGAACCUCGAAGACUGAAGCACGGAGAAGGGUUCCAUGUGAACAGCAGUUGAACAUGGGUGAGUCGGUCCUGAUUCACUUCCUAAUGGAAUUAUUAAAAGCUUCUAUUAUUUGAGAUGAGAAGUAAUGGAGAAUGGGAAAAGGGUUAAUAUUCCCUUACCCGGACACGGAGAUAGGGGCACCCGUGUCCCAAGUGCGGUAACGCAAACGAACUCGGCGACGCCGUCGGAGGACCCGGAGAAGAGUUGACUUUUCUUCGUAAGAGCUCGUGUCCCUGGAAUCUCGUCACGAGGAGAUAGGGACGCUGUUCUCGUAAGAGCACGGUCGCUGCUGCCGUGUCCGGUGCGCCUCCGCCGGCCCUUGAAAAACCGAGGGAGAGAGUGUGAUUUUCGUGCCGGUCCGUACCCAUAUCCGCAGCAGGUCUCCAAGGUGAACAGCCUCUAGUCUCUAGAACAAUGUAGGUAAGGGAAGUCGGCAAGUUCGAUCCCUAACUUCGGGAAAAGGAUUGCUCUUGUGUUUCCGUCCUGCGGACCUCUUU
This 2501-nucleotide ribosomal RNA is filed under the name Trichonephila clavata. Its description in RNAcentral is "28S ribosomal RNA". The stretch from base 308 to 2501 matches the Rfam family "Eukaryotic large subunit ribosomal RNA", at positions 1 to 1981 of the family's 3401-position model. Lineage: Eukaryota; Metazoa; Arthropoda; Arachnida; Araneae; Nephilidae. The record is from RNAcentral.